GGAGCCCAAGUUUUCUGCAUCAUCUGCAUACGUCGUAGGCCCUGCUAAGGUUGAGAGGGGUUUAUACUCCUCCGUGGGUUCAAAUCCCACCGGCUCCG
This 98-nucleotide transfer RNA is filed under the name Lacisediminihabitans changchengi. Its description in RNAcentral is "Lacisediminihabitans sp. G11-30 tRNA-OTHER". The record is from RNAcentral. Lineage: Bacteria; Bacillati; Actinomycetota; Actinomycetes; Micrococcales; Microbacteriaceae.